Etheostoma spectabile (orangethroat darter) is the source of this 125-nucleotide long non-coding RNA. RefSeq lists it as uncharacterized. Lineage: Eukaryota; Metazoa; Chordata; Actinopteri; Perciformes; Percidae. The transcript is spliced from 3 exons. The record is from RefSeq and is a predicted model, not a curated record.
GUCAGCAGAACAUAGCGGAGCAUUUAGCAGCCAAAGAGUCAGAUAUUUCCCUAAAGAGUUGGUGGAGAGCAAAACGAAGCAUAAAGAAGAGUGAUUAUUGACUUUCCAUUUGUCAGGUGGCCACA